RNAcentral lists this transfer RNA (76 nucleotides) under Chloroflexota bacterium. RNAcentral's name for it is "Chloroflexi bacterium tRNA-Met". It matches the Rfam family "tRNA". Rfam says of the family: Transfer RNA (tRNA) molecules are approximately 80 nucleotides in length. Their secondary structure includes four short double-helical elements and three loops (D, anti-codon, and T loops). Lineage: Bacteria; Bacillati; Chloroflexota. The record is from RNAcentral.
GGCUGGGUAGCUCAGUGGUAGAGCAGCCGACUCAUAACCGGCAGGUUCGUGGGUCCGAUCCCCACCCCAGCCACCG